AACGAACGCUGGCGGCAUGCCUAACACAUGCAAGUCGAACGAGAUCCUUCGGCGUCUAGUGGAGCACGGGUGCGUAACGCGUGGGAAUCUGCCCGUAGGUUCGGAAUAACAGUUAGAAAUGACUGCUAAUAUCGGAUGAUGACGUUAAGUCCAUAGAUUUAUCGCCUGAGGAUGAGCCCGCGUAGGAUUAGCUAGUUGGUGUGGUAAAGGCGCACCAAGGCGACGAUCCUUAGCUGGACUGAGAGGAUGAUCAGCCACACUGGGACUGAGACACGGCCCAGACUCGUGCGAGAGGCGGCAGAGGGGAAUAUUGGGGAAUGGGCGCAAGCCUGAGCCAGCAAGGCGGCGUUGGUGGUGAAGGGGUUAGGAUUGUAAAGCGCUUGUGCCCGGGAUGAUAAUGACAGUACCGGGAGAAUAAGCCCCGGCUAACUCCGUG
This 436-nucleotide ribosomal RNA is filed under the name uncultured bacterium. RNAcentral's name for it is "partial 16S ribosomal RNA". It matches the Rfam family "Bacterial small subunit ribosomal RNA", at positions 29 to 507 of the family's 1533-position model. The record is from RNAcentral.